This 255-nucleotide ribosomal RNA is filed under the name uncultured bacterium. RNAcentral's name for it is "partial 16S ribosomal RNA". It matches the Rfam family "Bacterial small subunit ribosomal RNA", at positions 524 to 776 of the family's 1533-position model. The record is from RNAcentral.
UACGAAGGGGGCUAGCGUUGCUCGGAAUUACUGGGCGUAAAGGGCGCGUAGGCGGUCAGACCAAGUCGCGUGUGAAAUGCCAGGGCUUAACUCUGGCACGCUCGCGCGAUACUGGUCGGCUAGAGUGUUGCAGGGGAGACUGGAAUUCCUGGUGUAGCGGUGAAAUGCGCAGAUAUCAGGAGGAGCACCGGUGGCGAAGGCGGGUCUCUGGGCAACAACUGACGCUGAGGAGCGAAAGCGUGGGGAGCGAACAGG